UACGUAGGGUGCAAGCGUUGUCCGGAAUUAUUGGGCGUAAAGAGCUCGUAGGCGGUUUGUCGCGUUGUUCGUGAAAUCUCACGGCUUAACUGUGAGCGUGCGGGCGAUACGGGCAGACUGGAGUACUGCAGGGGAGACUGGAAUUCCUGGUGUAGCGGUGGAAUGCGCAGAUAUCAGGAGGAACACCGGUGGCAAGGGCGGGUCUCUGGGCAGUAACUGACGCUGAGGAGCGAAAGCGUGGGGAGCGAACAGG
Molecule: ribosomal RNA, 253 nt
Filed under: uncultured bacterium
Lineage: Bacteria
Description: partial 16S ribosomal RNA
Rfam family: Bacterial small subunit ribosomal RNA
Source: RNAcentral